CAAUAGCGUAUAUUAAAGUUGUUGCAGUUAAAAAGCUCGUAGUUGGAUUUCUGGUUGAAGCGACCGGUCGGGCGUUGAUUCGUCUGCACUGGAGUCGGUUUUGGCCAUCCUCUAGGAAAGUGCGUCUGGUAUUAAGUUAUUGGGCGUAUGAUCCUGGUCUUUUACUGUGAAAAAAUUAGAGUGUUUAAAGCAGGCCUUCGCCUUGAAUACAUUAGCAUGGAAUAAUAAGAUAGGACUUUGGUCUAUUUUGUUGGUUUGCAGACCGAAGUAAUGAUUAAUAGGGAUAGUUGGGGGUAUUUAUAUUCCGAUGUCAGAGGUGAAAUUCUUAGAUUUUCGGAAGAUAAACUUAUGCGAAAGCAUUUACCAAGGAUGUUUUCAUUA
Molecule: ribosomal RNA, 381 nt
Filed under: uncultured eukaryote
Lineage: Eukaryota
Description: partial 18S ribosomal RNA
Rfam family: Eukaryotic small subunit ribosomal RNA
Source: RNAcentral